Molecule: ribosomal RNA, 232 nt
Filed under: uncultured bacterium
Lineage: Bacteria
Description: partial 16S ribosomal RNA
Rfam family: Bacterial small subunit ribosomal RNA
Source: RNAcentral
GCAAGUCGAAGGAGAAGCUGGACUUCGGUCCAGUGGAAACUGGCGCACGGGUGAGUAACGCGUGGGAACAUGCCCAAGGGUACGGAAUAACAGCUGGAAACGGCUGCUAAUACCGUAUGUCCCCUCCGGGGGAAAGAUUUAUCGCCCUUGGAUUGUCCCGCGUCCGAUUAGCUUGUUGGUGAGGUAACGGCUCACCAAGGCGACGAUCCGUAGCUGGUUUGAGAGGAUGAUC